UUUUUUUUUUUUUUUUUUUUGAGAUGGAGUCUUGCUCUUUUUGCCCAGGCUGGAGUGCAGUGGUGUGAUCUCGGCUCACUGCAACCUUCGCCUCCCUGGUUGAAGCGAUUCUCCUGCCUCAGCCUCCCAAGUAGCUGAGAUUACAGGCACACGCCAUCACACCCGGCUAAUUUUUGUAUUUUUAGUACGUAUGGGGUUUCACCAUGUUGGCCAGGCUGGUCUUGAACUCCUGACCUCAUGAUCCGCCCACCUCCCGAAAUGCUGGGAUUACAGGCGUGAGCCACCGUGCCUGGCUGCAGGAGGCUUUGAUGCUGGCCUGGCAGCCAGCUCCAGGAGCUGGGGGACGGAGGGGGCAGGGAGGGCUUCGUGGGUGGCCACGGCCAGCAGCACCCGGGUGCCCCUCAGAGAGGAAGGUACCUCCAGCCUCUGCCCAUGUGUGGGGCCAGCCCCCACGCGUCCUCCCUCAUAAGCCCCUUGCUAUCCUUGCAGCUGGCGUGAAGUUCCGUGUCCUCCAGCACAAGGCCGGCAGGCCCCUCCGCCUCCUGAUGCAGAUAAACCCACUGCCCUACAGCCGCGUGGUGCACACCUACCGCCUCCCCAGCUGUGGCUGCCACCCCAAGCACUCCUGGGGCGCCCUGUGCCGCAAGCUGUUCCUUGGGGAGCUCAUCUACCCCUGGAGGCAGAGAGGGGACAAGCAGGACUGAGGGAACUGCUGGCUCGCCCGGCACCACCACACGGCCACGGCCAGCCAUCUGCUCUGCCAGGGUGGCACCAGCUCAGCUGGCGCGUGUCCCGUGCUUUGUGGACGCUGCUGUGUGCUCCUGAACACCGCAGGCCCUGCUAUCACACCUUGGGCUUGGAGGUCAUUGGGAGUGAGCAGAUGUGGGGGUGGCCAGCCAGGCUGGCCGCACUCCAUCACUGGCACUGCCUGCCUUGGGACCCGCUUCCCACCUGCUGCGGUCACCAUGGUGGCGAGCACAGCAGCCCCAGGUGUCCAGAGCACUGCCCCAUGCCCACCCUGCGUACCCAGGUCCAGAGGGUCCGUCCACCACAGCAGCCCCAGGUGGAGGGCUGGUCUCCCUGGGGGCUCCCCAGUGGCUCUGCCCUGGCUGUGGGGGUGGAGGGACCUUCCCAGGAUGAACCCCCCAGUCCCAGGCACCCUCUAGCUCCCUCAGCCGAACAGCACCCUGCAUCUGGGGGAUUGAAGCAGUCGCUGACCCCCGUCCCCAGUGGGCCCGGGCCCUCACUCCCUGAACCACACGGGGUUUAUUUGCGGACGUUCCCUGCAGAGGUGGCUUUGUGAAGAAGCCAUCAGCAGGCUGUGGGCAUCGCCAGGCUGCUGUGGGGGCGGGAGCAGCCUCAGUGUCAAGGGCCCGCCCACUGACCCAGCCAUACCUAUUCGUCCACGGUGCCCCUGUAGCAGCAGGCCCUGGGGCCAAAUCUGUCUCCCUUCAUGGGCCUCCCAGGGAAGGAGGAAGCCCUGCUGUGCAGACACCUCUGUGGCCCCCCAGGGGUGUGAGCGGCCUGGGGAGGGGGCCGUGGCACUGAGGCCGAAAGUGCCUGCCAGAUGGCACGGUCUGGGUGCGGGUGUUCCCUGUGAGCCCGAGUCCGCUUCAGGAGGGGAGCCUGCAGGUGCGGCUGGUGAGGGGAUGACGCGCUGUGGGUGGGAGGAGGCAGCGCCCAUCUCAGCAGCACCAGGACUGCCUGGGACUCCCUGGCAACCCAGCACUGGGGAAGCCGUCAGCUGCUGUGACAAUAAAACCUGCCCCGUGUUUGG
This 1777-nucleotide small RNA is filed under the name Pan troglodytes (chimpanzee). Its description in RNAcentral is "retained intron". Lineage: Eukaryota; Metazoa; Chordata; Mammalia; Primates; Hominidae. The record is from RNAcentral.